This 253-nucleotide ribosomal RNA is filed under the name uncultured bacterium. RNAcentral's name for it is "partial 16S ribosomal RNA". It matches the Rfam family "Bacterial small subunit ribosomal RNA", at positions 524 to 776 of the family's 1533-position model. The record is from RNAcentral.
UACGUAGGUGGCAAGCGUUGUCCGGAUUUACUGGGCGUAAAGGAUGCGUAGGCGGACAUUUAAGUCAGAUGUGAAAUACCCGAGCUUAACUUGGGUGCUGCAUUUGAAACUGGGUGUCUAGAGUGCAGGAGAGGUAAGUGGAAUUCCUAGUGUAGCGGUGAAAUGCGUAGAGAUUAGGAAGAACACCAGUGGCGAAGGCGACUUACUGGACGGUAACUGACGCUGAGACGCGAAAGCGUGGGGAGCAAACAGG